This 305-nucleotide ribosomal RNA is filed under the name Clostridioides difficile. RNAcentral's name for it is "partial 23S ribosomal RNA". It matches the Rfam family "Bacterial large subunit ribosomal RNA", at positions 1252 to 1554 of the family's 2925-position model. The record is from RNAcentral. Lineage: Bacteria; Bacillati; Bacillota; Clostridia; Peptostreptococcales; Peptostreptococcaceae.
GAAGCAUGACCGUAAGGACAUGUGGACAGUAUGGGAGUGAGAAUGUUGGCAUGAGUAGCGAGAUGUGGGUGAGAAUCCCACAGGCCGUAAACCCAAGGUUUCCAGGGGAAGGUUCGUCCGCCCUGGGUUAGUCGGAACCUAAGCUGAGGCCGAAAGGCGUAGGUGAUGGACAACAGGUUGAUAUUCCUGUACUACCGAUAACCAUUUGAGAGAAGGGAUGACACAGUAGGAUAAGCUAAGCACACUGUUGGUUAUGUGUGCCCAAGCAUUGAGGCAGUCAAAGUAGGCAAAUCCGCUUUGAUAAU